GUGGGGAAUAUUGCACAAUGGGCGCAAGCCUGAUGCAGCGACGCCGCGUGGGGGAUGACGGCCUUCGGGUUGUAAACCUCUUUCGUCAGGGAAGAAGCCUUUUUGGGGUGACGGUACCUGGAGAAGAAGCACCGGCUAACUACGUGCCAGCAGCCGCGGUAAUACGUAGGGUGCGAGCGUUGUCCGGAAUUAUUGGGCGUAAAGAGCUUGUAGGCGGUUUGUCGCGUCUGCGGUGAAAACCCGGGGCUUAACCUUGGGCGUGCCGUGGGUACGGGCAGGCUAGAGUGUGGUAGGGGAGACUGGAAUUCCUGGUGUAGCGGUGAAAUGCGCAGAUAUCAGGAGGAACACCGAUGGCGAAGGCAGGUCUCUGGGCCAUAACUGACGCUGAGAAGCGAAAGCAUGGGGAGCGAACAGGAUUAGAUACCCUAGUAGUCC
Molecule: ribosomal RNA, 435 nt
Filed under: uncultured bacterium
Lineage: Bacteria
Description: bacterial SSU rRNA
Rfam family: Bacterial small subunit ribosomal RNA
Source: RNAcentral